GCAUAUCAAUAAGCGGAGGAAAAGAAACUAACUAGGAUUCCCCCAGUAACGGCGAGUGAAGAGGGACUAGCCCAAAUUUGUAAUCUGGCUCUUUCAGAGUCCGAGUUGUAAUCUCGAGAACAGUUUUCCGUGUUGGACCUUGUAUAAUUCUGUUGGAAUAUAGCUUCGUAGAGGGUGAGAAUCCCGUACAUAACAAGGACUACCAAUGCUUUGUGAUACUGUCUCUAAGAGUCGAGUUGUUUGGGAAUGCAGCUCAAAUCGGGUGGUAAAUUCCAUCUAAGGCUAAAUAUUGGCGAGAGACCGAUAGCGAACAAGUACCGUGAGGGAAAGAUGAAAAGCACUUUGGAAAGAGAGUUAACAGUACGUGAAAUUGUUAAAAGGGAAACGAUUGAAGUCAGUCUUGUAGCUUUUCGUUCAACCGCAAGGUGUAUUCGGAUUGCAACAGGCCAGCAUCAGUUUUUGGUGUCGGAUAAGGGUAUUGGAAACGUAGCAAUCUCGGUUGUGUUAUAGUCCUUUACUUGAUAAGAUGGUAGGGAUUGAGGAACGCAGUGAGCCUUUUGGCGGGUCUUCGGACCUUCUCUACUUGGAAGGCGGCGAAUGAGUU
RNAcentral lists this ribosomal RNA (604 nucleotides) under Eocronartium sp. I12F-02262. Its description in RNAcentral is "eukaryotic LSU rRNA". It matches the Rfam family "Eukaryotic large subunit ribosomal RNA", at positions 38 to 640 of the family's 3401-position model. The record is from RNAcentral. Lineage: Eukaryota; Fungi; Basidiomycota; Pucciniomycetes; Platygloeales; Eocronartiaceae.